GGCCUGUGAUGUUUGAGAUUGUCCGUACCAUCUGAGAUUUCUCGUUGAUGAGUUGUAUCCUCUAGGUUCUGAGGCUU
Brassica rapa (field mustard) is the source of this 77-nucleotide non-coding RNA. Lineage: Eukaryota; Viridiplantae; Streptophyta; Magnoliopsida; Brassicales; Brassicaceae. The record is from Rfam.